RNAcentral lists this ribosomal RNA (1030 nucleotides) under Notonecta uhleri. Its description in RNAcentral is "partial 18S ribosomal RNA". It matches the Rfam family "Eukaryotic small subunit ribosomal RNA", at positions 395 to 1343 of the family's 1831-position model. The record is from RNAcentral. Lineage: Eukaryota; Metazoa; Arthropoda; Insecta; Hemiptera; Notonectidae.
CCUGAGAAACGGCUACCACAUCCAAGGAAGGCAGCAGGCACGCAAAUUACCCACUCCCGGCACGGGGAGGUAGUGACAAAAAAUAACGAUACGGGACUCAUCCGAGGCCCCGUAAUCGGAAUGAGUACACUUUAAAUCUUUUAACAAGGAUCCAAUGGAGGGCAAGUCUGGUGCCAGCAGCCGCGGUAAUUCCAGCUCCAUUAGCGUAUAUUAAAGUUGUUGCAGUUANNNNNNNNNNNNNNNNNNNNNNNNNNGCGCUGUCGGUUCACCGCCUGCCGGUGCAACUGGCAUGCCGCGGGAUGUCCUGUCGGUGGCGGUCGUGACCCACGGCUCGUUGAGGCUCAGGCCGAAGCGUGCCGAUGUGUGUCAGGCCGCCGAUUCAAUCCUGCCGCGGUGCUCUUCACUGAGUGUCGAGGUAGGCCGACACGUUUACUUUGAACAAAUUAGAGUGCUCAAAGCAGGCUGAAUUCUGCCUGGAUAUUGUUGCAUGGAAUAAUGGAAUAGGACCUCGGUUCUAUUUUGUUGGUUUUCGGAAUCCGAGGUAAUGAUCAAUAUGGACAGUCGGGGGCAUUCGUAUUCUUGGCAAAUGCUUUCGCGGUGAAAUUCUUGGAUCGUCGCAAGACGGACUAGAGCGAAAGCAUUUGCCAAGUAUGUCUUAGUUGAUCAAGAACGAAAGUUAGAGGUUCGAAGGCGAUCAGAUACCGCCCUAGUUCUAACCAUAAACGAUGCCAGCCAGCGAUCCGCCGAUGUUCCUCCGAUGACUCGGCGGGCAGCUUCCGGGAAACCAAAGCUUUUGGGUUCCGGGGGAAGUAUGGUUGCAAAGCUGAAACUUAAAGGAAUUGACGGAAGGGCACCACCAGGAGUGCAGCCUGCGGCUUAAUUUGACUCAACACGGGAAACCUCACCAGGCCCAGACAUUGGAAGGAUUGACAGAUUGAUAGCUCUUUCUUGAUUCAGUGGGUAGUGGUGCAUGGCCGUUCUUAGUUGGUGGAGCGAUUUGUCUGGUUAAUUCCGAUAACGAACGAGACUC